This 1120-nucleotide ribosomal RNA is filed under the name Limosilactobacillus fermentum. RNAcentral describes it as "bacterial SSU rRNA". It matches the Rfam family "Bacterial small subunit ribosomal RNA", at positions 192 to 1296 of the family's 1533-position model. The record is from RNAcentral. Lineage: Bacteria; Bacillati; Bacillota; Bacilli; Lactobacillales; Lactobacillaceae.
GUUGCUCCGAGACGGCUUCUCGCUAUCACUUCUGGAUGGACCUGCGGUGCAUUACCUUGUUGGUGGGGUAACGGCCUACCAAGGUGAUGAUGCAUAGCCGAGUUGAGAGACUGAUCGGCCACAAUGGGACUGAGACACGGCCCAUACUCCUACGGGAGGCAGCAGUAAGGAAUCUUCCACAAUGGGCGCAAGCCUGAUGGAGCAACACCGCGUGAGUGAAGAAGGGUUUCGGCUCGUAAAGCUCUGUUGUUAAAGAAGAACACGUAUGAGAGUAACUGUUCAUACGUUGACGGUAUUUAACCAGAAAGUCACGGCUAACUACGUGCCACCAGCCGCGGUAAUACGUAGGUGGCAAGCGUUAUCCGGAUUUAAUUGGGCGUAAAAGAGAGUGCAGGCGGUUUUCUAAAGUCUGAUGUGAAAGCCUUCGGCUUAACCGGAGAAAGUGCAUCGGAAACUGGAUAACUUGAGUGCAGAAGAGGGUAGUGGAACUCCAUGUGUAGCGGUGGAAAUGCGUAGAUAUAUGGAAGAACACCCAGUGGCGAAGGCGGCUACCUGGUCUGCAACUGACGCUGAGACUCGAAAGCAUGGGUAGCGAACAGGAUUAGAUACCCUGGUAGUCCAUGCCGUAAACGAUGAGUGCUAGGUGUUGGAGGGUUUUCCGCCCUUCAGUGCCGGAGCUAACGCAUUAAGCACUCCGCCUGGGGAGUACGACCGCAAGGUUGAAACUCAAAGGAAUUGACGGGGGCCCGCACAAGCGGUGGAGCAUGUGGUUUAAUUCGAAGCUACGCGAAGAACCUUACCAGGUCUUGACAUCUUGCGCCAACCCUAGAGAUAGGGCGUUUCCUUCGGGAACGCAAUGACAGGUGGUGCAUGGUCGUCGUCAGCUCGUGUCGUGAGAUGUUGGGUUAAGUCCCGCAACGAGCGCAACCCUUGUUACUAGUUGCCAGCAUUAAGUUGGGCACUCUAGUGAGACUGCCGGUGACAAACCGGAGGAAGGUGGGGACGACGUCAGAUCAUCAUGCCCCUUAUGACCUGGGCUACACACGUGUUACAAUGGACGGUACAACGAGUCGCGAACUCGCGAGGGCAAGCAAAUCUCUUAAAACCGUUCUCAUUUGGG